CUUAUCAAGAGUGGCGGAGGGACCGGCCCGAGGAAGCCACGGCAACCUGCAUUGUAAGGUGCCAAAUCCGGCGGAGAACCGAAAGAUGAGG
RNAcentral lists this non-coding RNA (91 nucleotides) under uncultured Dysosmobacter sp. Its description in RNAcentral is "SAM riboswitch (S box leader)". It matches the Rfam family "SAM riboswitch aptamer (S box leader)". From Rfam's summary of the family: The SAM riboswitch is found upstream of a number of genes which code for proteins involved in methionine or cysteine biosynthesis in Gram-positive bacteria. The SAM riboswitch acts at the level of transcription termination control. The predicted structure consists of a complex stem-loop region followed by a single stem loop terminator region. The record is from RNAcentral. Lineage: Bacteria; Bacillati; Bacillota; Clostridia; Eubacteriales; Oscillospiraceae.